RNAcentral lists this ribosomal RNA (822 nucleotides) under uncultured bacterium. Its description in RNAcentral is "bacterial SSU rRNA". It matches the Rfam family "Bacterial small subunit ribosomal RNA", at positions 8 to 773 of the family's 1533-position model. The record is from RNAcentral.
ANAGUUUGAUCCUGGCUCAGAGUGAACGCUGGCGGCGUGGAUUAGGCAUGCAAGUCGAGCGAUCUUUGUUGGACUUUUUGUUGAAGUGCUUGCACUGAUGUAAAAAGACCAACGCUAGAUAGCGGCAAACGGGUGAGGAACACGUGAGAAAUUUUCCCUAAAGUCAAACAUAGCUUCGUGAAAACGGAGGUAAUAUUUGAUAUGGUCCAGAAAUCGCAUGAUCUUUGGAUUAAAGGUGGGGACCCUUCGGGGCCUGCCGCUUUUGGAUGAUCUCGCGACCUAUCAGCUUGUUGGUGGGGUAAUGGCCUACCAAGGCAUUUGACGGGUAGCUGGUCUGAGAGGAUGGUCAGCCACACUGGGACUGAGACACUGCCCAGACUCCUACGGGAGGCUGCAGUCGAGAAUCUUUAGCAAUGGACGAAAGUCUGACUAUGCGACGCCGCGUGCAGGAUGAGGGUUUUCGGAUCGUAAACUGCUUUUGUCAGGAAAGAAACGUUAAUGGUUAAUAUCCAUUAAUUUGACGGUACCUGACGAAUAAGCCACGGCCAACUCCGUGCCAGCAGCCGCGGUAAUACGGAGGUGGCAAGCGUUACUCGGAAUUAUUGGGUGUAAAGGGCAAGUAGGCGGUCUAUUAAGUGAGGGGUGAAAUCUUCCGACUCAAUCGGAAAAUUGCCUUUCAAACUACUAGACUUGAGACUGGAAGGGGGAAACGGAAUUAGCAGUGUAAGGGUGAAAUCUGUAGAUAUUGCUAAGAACACCGGCGGCGAAGGCGGUUUCCUGGUCCAAGUCUGACGCUAAAUUGCGAAAGCUAGGGUAGCAAAC